UGAGGAAUAUUGGACAAUGGGCGCAAGCCUGAUCCAGCCAUGCCGCGUGCAGGAUGACGGUCCUAUGGAUUGUAAACUGCUUUUGUACGAGAAGAAACACUGAUUCGUGAAUCAGCCUGACGGUAUCGUAAGAAUAAGGAUCGGCUAACUCCGUGCCAGCAGCCGCGGUAAUACGGAGGAUCCAAGCGUUAUCCGGAAUCAUUGGGUUUAAAGGGUCCGUAGGCGGUCUUGUAAGUCAGUGGUGAAAGCCCAUCGCUCAACGGUGGAACGGCCAUUGAUACUGCUGGACUUGAAUUAUUAGGAAGUAACUAGAAUAUGUAGUGUAGCGGUGAAAUGCUUAGAGAUUACAUGGAAUACCAAUUGCGAAGGCAGGUUACUACUAAUGGAUUGACGCUGAUGGACGAAAGCGUGGGUAGCGAACA
RNAcentral lists this ribosomal RNA (422 nucleotides) under uncultured Flavobacterium sp. RNAcentral's name for it is "bacterial SSU rRNA". It matches the Rfam family "Bacterial small subunit ribosomal RNA", at positions 355 to 774 of the family's 1533-position model. The record is from RNAcentral. Lineage: Bacteria; Pseudomonadati; Bacteroidota; Flavobacteriia; Flavobacteriales; Flavobacteriaceae.